Molecule: ribosomal RNA, 397 nt
Filed under: uncultured bacterium
Lineage: Bacteria
Description: bacterial SSU rRNA
Rfam family: Bacterial small subunit ribosomal RNA
Source: RNAcentral
AACCUACCUAUAAGACUGGGAUAACUUCGGGAAACCGGAGCUAAUACCGGAUAACAUUUGGAACCGCAUGGUUCUAAAGUGAAAGAUGGUUUUGCUAUCACUUAUAGAUGGACCCGCGCCGUAUUAGCUAGUUGGUAAGGUAACGGCUUACCAAGGCGACGAUACGUAGCCGACCUGAGAGGGUGAUCGGCCACACUGGAACUGAGACACGGUCCAGACUCCUACGGGAGGCAGCAGUAGGGAAUCUUCCGCAAUGGGCGAAAGCCUGACGGAGCAACGCCGCGUGAGUGAUGAAGGGUUUCGGCUCGUAAAACUCUGUUAUUAGGGAAGAACAAAUGUGUAAGUAACUGUGCACGUCUUGACGGUACCUAAUCAGAAAGCCACGGCUAACUACGUG